This 1446-nucleotide long non-coding RNA is filed under the name Monodelphis domestica (gray short-tailed opossum). RNAcentral describes it as "lncRNA (ENSMODG00000045600.1)". The record is from RNAcentral. Lineage: Eukaryota; Metazoa; Chordata; Mammalia; Didelphimorphia; Didelphidae.
CUUUCAAGGAAAACCCUGAUUUUUCGGGUUGUUUCCACUCCGACCGGUUAGGGGCCGGAGUUUGGUCUAAGUUCUUUUCCAGCUCGAAAGCUUAGAGGGGAAGAAAGGACAAAAGGGGUGGGCUCCUCUUCUCUCCUCCUCCUCUUCUUCCUCCGCCUCCCUCUUCUUCUCGUCCUCCCCUCCCCGGCUCCCAGUUAGUCUAAGGGGUAGAGCCGGGGAGGGGAGGUAGCGGACUAAGGCGGCGACUCCGGGGAGGGAGGUUCCCAACGGUUAGUCUCACCCAGCCCGGGGAGAAACGCGUACACCUCACAUUCGCCUCGGCUCCCUCGGACGUAACGAAUGGGGAUGGGAACCUAGAGAGCGGAUUGCAGGAAGGAAGGAGGAGCGCGCUCCGGGGGGGCACCACCACGCGUACGCGGCCGAAUCGACGACCCCCCCCCCCCCGACCCCGGGUCCGAGCCACGAGCCUCUCUGACCUUUGGGAUAGUAGGUGGAAGUUUCCUUGGCGUAGGAAAGGGAGGGCGCCUGCACCCCCCCCCUAGGGCAGGGGGAGGGCCCACCGCACAGGCGUACACUCGCGAGAGCGGGCACGCGCCUACACCGUUGCUAGGAGAGAGCGUCGAGGACUGAGCGGAGUCGCUCUGAGCGCCGGCGUGACAGUUGGCCAGGAGCAAAGAAAGCACUUGCGAAAGCACUCAGCUUCCUCAAGUGACUUUCUUUCCAUGUUACCCACCCUCUGCGGUCAAGGGGACAAAAGCCCACACCUUUUCUCACCUCAGCCUCCCGUGGUUGUACCAUUUUCAUGGUGAACAAAGGUUCAGUUUCCCUGCAAUGCAGUGGCUGUGACCCCUGCCCGGGGGAGGAGGGGUCUUGCCUGAAAUUCUCCACACUCAAUUACUCAUUCACCCUACAUUGUUCAGAGAGAAUUUUCAAGAAAGCAAGGGGUCAUAAAAAUUACCUUCAAGCAUAGGGCAGGUCCAGUAUUCCAGAAUUUUAAUGUUGAAAAGGGACCACAGAGGCCAUCGAACCCAAACCGUGCGCCUAAAUAAUAAUAGAGGACCUAUGGGACACAAGUGGCCAUCCAGGCCCUGCUGCCUGAGCCCCCAUCAGGCAAACAGUUACCCUUUGGGAUCAAUACUAUCUCUAAACCUUAACAAACACACAAAAAUAUGCAGAGGCACCCACAAAUGCAUUGCAUACAAAUACACUGAACUAUCAAGGAUAGUAGAUUUUAUAACAGAUGUGAAGAAAAGCUAAAGAAAUAUUUGACCCAGAGAAAAGAAGGCUCAAGGUUGGACUUCAAGAGUGAGCAGGAGGAACCCCAGCCACCAAAAUAUUUAUAGCAGCACUUUUUUUUGGUAGCAAAGAACUAGAAACAAAACACAUACCUACUGUUUGAGGUUACUGCUAAAUAAAUCGUGGCACAUUAAUUUAAUGAAAUGAAAU